UACAGAGGUCCCAAGCGUUGUUCGGAUUCAUUGGGCGUAAAGGGUGCGUAGGCGGCGCGGCAAGUCGGGUGUGAAAUCUCGGAGCUUAACUCCGAAACUGCAUUCGAUACUGCCGUGCUUGAGGACUGGAGAGGAGACUGGAAUUUACGGUGUAGCGGUGAAAUGCGUAGAUAUCGUAAGGAAGACCAGUGGCGAAGGCGGGUCUCUGGACAGUUCCUGACGCUGAGGCACGAAGGCUAGGGGAGCAAACGGG
RNAcentral lists this ribosomal RNA (253 nucleotides) under uncultured bacterium. Its description in RNAcentral is "partial 16S ribosomal RNA". It matches the Rfam family "Bacterial small subunit ribosomal RNA", at positions 524 to 776 of the family's 1533-position model. The record is from RNAcentral.